UUGAGGAAUAUUGGACAAUGGGCGCAAGCCUGAUCCAGCCAUGCCGCGUGCAGGAAGACGCAUCUAUGGUGUGUAAACUGCUUUUGUACGGGAAGAAACACUCCCUCGUGAGGGAGCUUGACGGUACCGUAAGAAUAAGGAUCGGCUAACUCCGUGCCAGCAGCCGCGGUAAUACGGAGGAUCCAAGCGUUAUCCGGAAUCAUUGGGUUUAAAGGGUCCGUAGGCGGUUUAAUAAGUCAGUGGUGAAAGCGCAUCGCUCAACGAUGGAACGGCCAUUGAUACUGUUAGACUUGAAUUACAAGGAAGUAACUAGAAUAUGUAGUGUAGCGGUGAAAUGCUUAGAUAUUACAUGGAAUACCAAUUGCGAAGGCAGGUUACUACUUGUGGAUUGACGCUGAUGGACGAAAGCGUGGGGAGCGAACAGGAUUAGAAACCCGUGUAGUCC
RNAcentral lists this ribosomal RNA (445 nucleotides) under uncultured bacterium. RNAcentral's name for it is "partial 16S ribosomal RNA". It matches the Rfam family "Bacterial small subunit ribosomal RNA", at positions 354 to 796 of the family's 1533-position model. The record is from RNAcentral.